CGUGAGAAUCUGGCUUUAGGUCGGGGACAACAGUUGGAAACGACUGCUAAUACCGGAUAUGCCGAGAGGUGAAAGAUUAAUUGCCUGAAGAAGAGCUCGCGUCUGAUUAGCUAGUUGGUGGGGUAAGAGCUUACCAAGGCGACGAUCAGUAGCUGGUCUGAGAGGACGAUCAGCCACACUGGGACUGAGACACGGCCCAGACUCCUACGGGAGGCAGCAGUGGGGAAUUUUCCGCAAUGGGCGAAAGCCUGACGGAGCAAUACCGCGUGAGGGAGGAAGGCUCUUGGGUUGUAAACCUCUUUUCUUAGGGAAGAAAAAAAUGACGGUACCUAAGGAAUCAGCAUCGGCUAACUCCGUGCCAGCAGCCGCGGUAAUACGGAGGAUGCAAGCGUUAUCCGGAAUGAUUGGGCGUAAAGCGUCCGCAGGUGGCAUUUCAAGUCUGCGGUCAAAGGUCGAGGCUCAACCUCGAACAGGCCGUGGAAACUGAAAAGCUAGAGUGUGGUAGGGGCAGAGGGAAUUCCCAGUGUAGCGGUGAAAUGCGUAGAGAUUGGGAAGAACACCGGUGGCGAAAGCGCUCUGCUAGGCCAAGACUGACACUGAGGGACGAAAGCUAGGGGAGCGAAUGGGAUUAGAUAC
Molecule: ribosomal RNA, 636 nt
Filed under: uncultured cyanobacterium
Lineage: Bacteria; Bacillati; Cyanobacteriota
Description: bacterial SSU rRNA
Rfam family: Bacterial small subunit ribosomal RNA
Source: RNAcentral